Molecule: ribosomal RNA, 576 nt
Filed under: uncultured bacterium
Lineage: Bacteria
Description: bacterial SSU rRNA
Rfam family: Bacterial small subunit ribosomal RNA
Source: RNAcentral
ACGGGUGAGUAAUACAUCGGAACGUGCCCUGUAGUGGGGGAUAACUAGUCGAAAGAUUAGCUAAUACCGCAUACGACCUGAGGGCGAAAGUGGGGGACCGCAAGGCCUCAUGCUAUAGGAGCGGCCGAUGUCUGAUUAGCUAGUUGGUGGGGUAAAGGCCCACCAAGGCGACGAUCAGUAGCUGGUCUGAGAGGACGAUCAGCCACACUGGGACUGAGACACGGCCCAGACUCCUACGGGAGGCAGCAGUGGGGAAUUUUGGACAAUGGGGGCAACCCUGAUCCAGCAAUGCCGCGUGUGUGAAGAAGGCCUUCGGGUUGUAAAGCACUUUUGUCCGGAAAGAAAUCGCACUUACUAAUAUUAGGUGUGGAUGACGGUACCGGAAGAAUAAGGACCGGCUAACUACGUGCCAGCAGCCGCGGUAAUACGUAGGGUCCAAGCGUUAAUCGGAAUUACUGGGCGUAAAGCGUGCGCAGGCGGUUGUGCAAGACCGAUGUGAAAUCCCCGGGCUUAACCUGGGAAUUGCAUUGGUGACUGCACGGCUAGAGUGUGUCAGAGGGGGGUAGAAUUCCACGU